CUUAGUGACUGAGUGCGGACGGGUGAGUAACGCGUGGGUAACCUGCCUCAUACAGGGGGAUAACAGUUAGAAAUGGCUGCUAAUACCGCAUAAGCGCACGGUACUGCAUGGUACAGUGUGAAAAGCUCCGGUGGUAUGAGAUGGACCCGCGUUGGAUUAGCUAGUUGGCAGGGUAACGGCCUACCAAGGCGACGAUCCAUAGCCGGCCUGAGAGGGUGGACGGCCACAUUGGGACUGAGACACGGCCCAGACUCCUACGGGAGGCAGCAGUGGGGAAUAUUGCACAAUGGGGGAAACCCUGAUGCAGCGACGCCGCGUGAGCGAAGAAGUAUUUCGGUAUGUAAAGCUCUAUCAGCAGGGAAGAAAAUGACGGUACCUGACUAAGAAGCCCCGGCUAACUACGUGCCAGCAGCCGCGGUAAUACGUAGGGGGCAAGCGUUAUCCGGAUUUACUGGGUGUAAAGGGAGCGUAGACGGAAUGGCAAGUCUGAUGUGAAAGGCCGGGGCUCAACCCCGGGACUGCAUUGGAAACUGUCAAUCUAGAGUACCGGAGGGGUAAGUGGAAUUCCUAGUGUAGCGGUGAAAUGCGUAGAUAUUAGGAGGA
RNAcentral lists this ribosomal RNA (603 nucleotides) under uncultured Lachnospiraceae bacterium. RNAcentral describes it as "bacterial SSU rRNA". It matches the Rfam family "Bacterial small subunit ribosomal RNA", at positions 84 to 705 of the family's 1533-position model. The record is from RNAcentral. Lineage: Bacteria; Bacillati; Bacillota; Clostridia; Lachnospirales; Lachnospiraceae.